CCUUGCUCCCAGCCCCCCCUUCCCACAAUCCCUUGCCCCCAGCACCCCCUUCCCACAAUCCCUCGCUCCCGGCGGCCAUCUUCCCCCCCUCCCCUGCAGGUGGUGGUGCGUCUCCUGCAGGAGGCCCAGCCCCAGGCCCGCAUCUUCGACGCCAUCGACUCCUUCUUCCCCGAGGGGGAGGCGGCUCCUGGAGGAGCCCACGGCCCGGCCACCCCCCGGGAGCUGGCCCUGGUGGGGGAGGCCCAGGAGAACUUCCGGGAGCUGGUGCUGGGGCUGGUGGCCGACCCCCGGCGCAGACAGGCCUACCUGCAGGUAACGCACCAGUACGGACCAGUAUGGACCAGUAUCAGCCCCACAGUGCUCUCCCUGAACAUCCCACGGCCUCCUAGUGCGCUCCCAGUUCAUCCCAGUAUCCCCCAGUUCAUCCCAGUGCCCUUCUUGUACCUCUCAGUCCCUCCCAGUGCCUCCCAGUGCCCCCCAGUCCCCUCCCAGUCCCUCCCAGUAUCCACCAGUACAUCCCAGUGUCCUCUCAGUUCAUCCCAGUGCCCUUCUUGUACCUCUCAGUCCCUCCCAGUGCCUCCCAGUGCCCCCCAGUCCCCUCCCAGUCCCUCCCAGUAUCCACCAGUACAUCCCAGUGUCCUCUCAGUUCAUCCCAGUGCCCUUCUUGUACCUCUCAGUCCCUCCCAGUGCCUCCCAGUGCCCCCCAGUCCCCUCCCAGUCCCUCCCAGUAUCCACCAGUACAUCCCAGUGUCCUCUCAGUUCAUCCCAGUGCCCUUCUUGUACCUCUCAGUCCCUCCCAGUGCCUCCCAGUGCCCCCCAGUCCCCUCCCAGUCCCUCCCACUCACACCCAAUGGGUCCAUGCUCCCUGGGGAGGGUCUCCCAGUCCCUCCCACUCCCUCCCAGUCCCUCCCAGUGCCCCCCCCAGUACCGUUGAAGGCCACCCUGCGGAUGUG
RNAcentral lists this long non-coding RNA (953 nucleotides) under Calidris pugnax (ruff). RNAcentral describes it as "lncRNA (ENSCPUG00000006663.1)". Lineage: Eukaryota; Metazoa; Chordata; Aves; Charadriiformes; Scolopacidae. The record is from RNAcentral.